RNAcentral lists this ribosomal RNA (92 nucleotides) under bacterium. The record is from RNAcentral.
UGUUCCACCCGAUCCCAUUCCGAACUCGGAAGUGAAAUACUCCAAGGCCGAUGAUAGUGGGUUUUUCCCGCGAAAGUAGGUAACUGCCACCA